Molecule: ribosomal RNA, 449 nt
Filed under: uncultured bacterium
Lineage: Bacteria
Description: partial 16S ribosomal RNA
Rfam family: Bacterial small subunit ribosomal RNA
Source: RNAcentral
AACGAACGCUGGCGGCAUGCCUAACACAUGCAAGUCGAACGAGACCUUCGGGUCUAGUGGCGCACGGGUGCGUAACGCGUGGGAAUCUGCCCCUCGGUUCGGAAUAACAGUUAGAAAUGACUGCUAAUACCGGAUAAUGACUUCGGUCCAAAGAUUUAUCGCCGAGGGAUGAGCCCGCGUAAGAUUAGGUAGUUGGUGGGGUAAAGGCCUACCAAGCCGACGAUCUUUAGCUGGUCUGAGAGGAUGAUCAGCCACACUGGAAGUGAGACACGGGCCAGACUCCUACGGGAGGCAGCAGUGGGGAAUAUUGGACAAUGGGCGAAAGCCUGAUCCAGCAAUGCCGCGUGAGUGAUGAAGGCCUUAGGGUUGUAAAGCUCUUUUACCAGGGAUGAUAAUGACAGUACCUGGAGAAUAAGCUCCGGCUAACUCCGUGCCAGCCGCCGCAGUAA